UACGUAGGGUGCAAGCGUUGCCCGGAAUUAUUGGGCGUAAAGAGCUCGUAGGCGGUUUGUUGCGUCGGCUGUGAAAUCCCGAGGCUCAACCUCGGGUCUGCAGUCGAUACGAGCAAACUAGAGUGUUGCAGGGGAGACUGGAAUUCCUGGUGUAGCGGUGAAAUGCGCAGAUAUCAGGAGGAACACCCAUGGCGAAGGCAGCAAACUGGUCAUCAACUGACGCUGAGGCGCGAAAGCGUGGGUAGCAAACAGG
This 253-nucleotide ribosomal RNA is filed under the name uncultured bacterium. RNAcentral describes it as "partial 16S ribosomal RNA". It matches the Rfam family "Bacterial small subunit ribosomal RNA", at positions 524 to 776 of the family's 1533-position model. The record is from RNAcentral.